Molecule: ribosomal RNA, 301 nt
Filed under: uncultured bacterium
Lineage: Bacteria
Description: partial 16S ribosomal RNA
Rfam family: Bacterial small subunit ribosomal RNA
Source: RNAcentral
CAGUAGCCGCGGUAAUACGUAGGGUGCGAGCGUUAAUCGGAAUUACUGGGCGUAAAGCGUGCGCAGGCGGUUCGUUAAGACAGAUGUGAAAUCCCCGGGCUUAACCUGGGAACUGCAUUUGUGACUGACGGGCUAGAGUAUGGCAGAGGGGGGUAGAAUUCCACGUGUAGCAGUGAAAUGCGUAGAGAUGUGGAGGAAUACCGAUGGCGAAGGCAGCCCCCUGGGCCAAUACUGACGCUCAUGCACGAAAGCGUGGGGAGCAAACAGGAUUAGAUACCCCAGUAGUCCCUGUCUCUUAUAC